CCUACGGGUGGCUGCAGUGGGGAAUAUUGCGCAAUGGGCGAAAGCCUGACGCAGCGACGCCGCGUGAGGGAUGAAGGUCUUCGGAGCGUAAACCUCUGUCAGCAGGGAAGAACGGUCACGGUGCUAAGCAGCAGUGAAUAGACGGUACCAGCAAAGGAAGCAGCGGCGAACUCCGUGCCAGCAGCCGCGGUAAGACGGAGGGGGCGAGCGUUAAGCGGAAUUACUGGGCGUAAAGCGCUCGUAGGCGGUAUGUCAAGUCAAGGGUGAAAUCCCCCCGCUCAACGUGGGAACUGCCUUUGAAACUGGCAACCUGGAGUGUGUGCGAGGCUACUGGAAUUCCAGGUGUAGCCGU
RNAcentral lists this ribosomal RNA (352 nucleotides) under uncultured bacterium. Its description in RNAcentral is "partial 16S ribosomal RNA". It matches the Rfam family "Bacterial small subunit ribosomal RNA", at positions 338 to 682 of the family's 1533-position model. The record is from RNAcentral.